UGCCAGCCGCCGCGGUAAUACGGAGGGUGCAAGCGUUGUUCGGAAUUACUGGGCGUAAAGCGCACGUAGGCGGAUUAGUAAGUUAGGGGUGAAAUCCCGGGGCUCAACCCCGGAACUGCCUCUAAUACUGCUAGUCUUGAGUUCGAGAGAGGUGAGUGGAAUUCCGAGUGUAGAGGUGAAAUUCGUAGAUAUUCGGAGGAACACCAGUGGCGAAGGCGGCUCACUGGCUCGAUACUGACGCUGAGGUACGAAAGCGUGGGUAGCGAAUGGGAUUAGAUA
RNAcentral lists this ribosomal RNA (279 nucleotides) under uncultured bacterium. RNAcentral's name for it is "partial 16S ribosomal RNA". It matches the Rfam family "Bacterial small subunit ribosomal RNA", at positions 506 to 784 of the family's 1533-position model. The record is from RNAcentral.